RNA transcript from Balaenoptera ricei (Rice's whale), 6479 nucleotides. It is a transcript of the gene named zinc finger protein 699, with no coding region annotated. NCBI's taxonomy places the organism in Eukaryota, Metazoa, Chordata, Mammalia, Artiodactyla, Balaenopteridae. The record is from RefSeq and is a predicted model, not a curated record. The transcript has 6 exons.
UUUCUGCCCUUAUAAGUCAAUGGUUAACCCAUUGAUACUGAUUUUUCUUCUAUAGGAAUUGAUGAUUUUUGUAAAUACAAUUAACCCUUGAGCAACAUGGGUUUGAAAUGCACGCGUCCACUUAUAUGCAGAUUUUUUUCAGUACUAAAUAUUACAAUACUACAGGAUUAGUGGUUGGUUGAAUCCUUGGAUACUGAAGGCUGACUAUGAGUUAUACUCGAAUUUUCCACUGCCGGAGGGUUGGUGCCCCAACCCCUGCAAUUGUUCAAGGGUCAGUUGUAUAUAAAUAUAUAUACCACACCAGCCGUGGAUUUCUAGUGUUAUCUGAAACAGUUAUUUUAAUUUCCUGCUUCUACCCUGUCACAUAAGCAGUCCUGAUUUGCUAAAGAUAAAUAUGUGUGUAUCUCCUUAUCCCUAUAAUGUGAUGCAUUUUUAUAUAGCAUAUACCACCACCUGAUAAUAUUUUGUUAAUUUAGUGGUCCUCCUUCAAACGACCCAGGCACUUUAGGAUUUUUCUGUUUUGUUCAGUGCUGUGUCUCCUGUGACUGCACGUAGUAGGACAGGGUGAAUAUUACCUAAAUAAAUAUGAGAUGAAGGAGCAGGAGGUAAGGGCCUUAAGGGAAGCAUCCUUGCUGAAGACAUAGGGCUUAGUCAAGAGAAGGAGCUCAAAGAUAAAACACUUGAAUAGAAUACUUCAUUUGUUUACUCUCCAUAGUGUGCCCAACAGGGUUCUAGGCCAGACCCUGGUAAUGUUAGGGCAUAAGGGCCUCACUGACAACUAAAUUGUAAGGUAUAUGUUCAGAAAUACACUCAUUGGGCACUUAGGCUUUGAAGGUAAAUACACGUGCAUACACACAGCUCCUCAGCAGCUUUCUAAUUGGGUAGCAUUGAGCACAUAGUUAAAGUGACUCUUUCCAAGAUUCUUAACUAUAAACUGGUUGUGUUAGUAUCUCAUUUGCAGAGUUUCUAUGAAUAAUCUUUUUGCAGAGGUAUGGGCAUCUCUUUGCCAAGUCAUUCUCAUAUCUUGGUUGCUCAAAUGGAACAUGUUGUUAGUAAAGAAUGUUACAGUUUGUAUUGGCUUUAAAAUACAUACUUCAUCCACGGCAGUGGAAGAAACUGUUGCAUUUUCGUUAUUUGAAAUUUGUGCAGUAGUGCUACAGAUAUCACUGUGAGAGAUGACACACACUGCUAACUUCACUCCGAGUGUUCUUGUUCUGCUGCUGCUGUACCUCCUGUACAAUUCCUGCAGAAUUGAAUAGGAGAAGUCUUCUCUGCCACCUGUAUGUGGAAUUCAGUCAGUUGAUGCUGUUUCUCAAAAACCAGGUUUUGGGGACCCUGCAGCCCUUGUGGGAGAGGGUCUAGUAGUCAGGGGCUGAGCAGUAAUACAUGUUAGCCUGCCAAGAGGUGCAGAAAUAAAUAUUGGGAGUGGAACCCCCGGAAGUCUGGCAUACAGGUCACACUUUCCUGGAUUUGAGAUGGUGUGUAUAUUCUUACUAUUGAAGACGUUCUCUGAUUUUUUUAUGUUUUCAUUAUUAUGAUCAAAUUGACAGCUAAAUUUUUUUAGACUACAGUUAACUUGCUUACAAAAUGGAACUCUUAACCUGUUUUUUUUUAUGAUCUACAAGAACCAGAGGACUGUUUUAUAGCUCUAGAGGAGAUAAGAUUGCUCUAACUUCUUUUUUUUUUCCCCCCUCUAUUUUCUUACAAGAUUGAUGUGUGUUUGCUUGGGUGUCUUAGGGCUAUGCAUGUCUGUGUGUGUGUGUGUUUUGAGGGGAGUGAUCACUCCUAACAGAUGUGCUGCAAAAUCCCCAGUCUUGAUUAUGGAAAUUGUGGGGAGACCCAGAUUCUCGUGUCUUCUUUCUCCUGCCUCAGCUCUAACUUCUCAAUACUCUGUCUUUCUUCAUGAAGGGAACAUGGAGGAAGAAAGAACAGCUGCUGAGUUACAGAAAAAUAUGACACAGGAACCAGUGGUCUUUGAGGAUGUGGCUGUGGACUUUACCCAGGAGGAGUGGGCUUUGCUAGAUCUCGCUCAGAGAAACCUCUACAGAGAUGUGAUGCUGGAAAACUUCCGGAACCUGGCCUCAUUAGGGUAUCCACUACACACACCCUAUCUGAUCUCCCAGUGGAAACAAGAGGAGGACCUGGAGAUAGCAGAGAGAGGACCCACCCAGGGGGAGCAUCAGGAAGGUUUUGAGACUCAACUUAAAACUAAUGAAUUAGUCGCUCCACAAGAUAUUUAUCGAGAAAAAAUAUCCAGUGAACAGAAUGUAGUAAGAUUCAAAAGGAGUGCUUCCUCGUUGUCCAUUUUACACAGAAGCUGGGAAUACCAUGGUUUUGAUUAUCAGAACAAAAACCAUGAGAGACAUUUGAGAAGUCACAUGGUGGAGAACAUCUAUGAACAUAACGAAGAAAAUCAGUGUAGACAAACCUUCAGCCAUAUCUCAAAUCUUAAUAUACUCAAGAGAACUACUGAAGUAAAAGCCUAUGAAUGCCAGGAGUGUAAAAAGGCCUUCACAGAUCAUUUAUCCCUUAAGAAUCACAUAAGUUCUCACACUGGAAGCAAACCCUAUCAGUGUAAGGAAUGUGGGAAAGCUUUUCAUUUUUUUGCUUGUUUUAAGAAGCAUAUGAAAACUCCCACUGAAGAGAAACCCUAUGAAUGUAAGGAAUGUACCAAAGCCUUCAGUUGUUCUUCAUUCUUUAGGGCACAUAUGAAGAUUCACACAGGAAAGACAAACUACGAAUGCAAGGAAUGUGGGAAAACCUUUAGCUGUUCUUCAUCCCUUACAGAGCACAAAAGAAUUCACAGUGGAGAUAAGCCUUAUGAAUGUAAGGAGUGCGGGAAAGCAUUUAGUUGUUCCUCCUCACUCUCCAAACACAAAAGAAUUCACAGUGGAGAUAAGCCAUAUGAAUGUAAGGAGUGUGGGAAGGCCUUCAGUUCCUCUUCUCACCUUAUAAUACAUAUAAGAAUCCAUACUGGAGAGAAGCCUUAUGAAUGUAAAGAGUGUGGGAAAGCCUUCAGUGAGUCCUCAAAGCUCACCGUACACGUCAGAACACAUACGGGAGAGAAACCCUAUAAAUGUAAGGAAUGCGGGAAAGCCUACAAUUGUCCGUCCUCCUUAAGUAUCCAUAUGAGAAAACACACUGGGGAGAAACCCUAUGAAUGUCUGGAAUGUGGAAAAGCCUUUUAUCUUCCCACUUCCCUGAAUACACAUGUGAAAAAUCAAAGUAGAGAGAAACCCUACGAAUGUAAGGAAUGUGGAAAAGCCUUCAGUUGUCCCUCGUCCUUUAGAGCACAUGUGAGAGAUCACACUGGAAAGGUGCAGUACGAAUGUAAGGAAUGUGGGAAGGCCUUUAGUCGUUCCUCAUCCCUCACCGAACACUUAAGAACUCACAGUGGAGAGAAGCCUUAUGAAUGUAAGGAAUGUGGGAAAGCCUUUAUUAGUUCCUCCCACCUUACGGUACAUAUAAGAACUCACACUGGAGAGAAACCUUAUGAAUGUAAGAAAUGUGGAAAAGCCUUCAUUUACCCCUCAGCCCUUAGGAUCCACAUGAGAACGCACACUGGGGAGAAACCCUAUGAAUGUAAGGACUGUGGGAAAGCCUUUCGCCAUUCUUCAUACCUUACUGUCCACACAAGGAUGCACACUGGAGAGAAACCCUUUGAAUGUCUGGAAUGUGGGAAAGCAUUCAGUUGUCCUUCAUCCUUUCGAAGACACGUAAGAAGCCACACUGGUGAGAAGCCCUAUGAAUGUAAGGAAUGUGGGAAAGCCUUUGUUUGUCCCGCUUACUUUCGAAGACAUUUGAAAACUCACACUAGAGGAAACAUAUAAAGUAAGGAAUAAGGAAAUGUCUGCAAGGCUUUUUCAGAUCUUAGGCAGCACGCAAGAUCUCACACUGUGGAGACACCCUGUGAAUGUAAGAAAUUGUCGCUCAUCUUUUUGAAGACUUGAGAACUCACAACUAAGAGAAACCCUGUGUAUGUAAAUCAUGUGGUAACACCUUCAUGAACAUCACUUACUGUGUUCUAAGAAAAUUCAUACUAGAAGCAAAGAUCGGUGCCUCAUCCUUAAAGUGGACUACUGCUGGCUCAUUGAUUUCCAGUUUUAAUUUUCUGAUGAAUGUUUAAGGUGAUAAAUUUCCUCUAAUACCUUUCAGCUGUAGCUGCAUAUGUUUUAUGAGGUGCUUUUGUUUUGGUUUGGAUGUAAAUGUUAUUUCCAUUACAGAGUUUUUUGGACCCAUUGGGGAGUUGAAGUGUAUUUUUUCGUAUGCAGGCAUACGGUCUUUUAAAAAUUAUUAUUAGUUUCUAAUUAACUCUCAUUGUUCUUUAAGUAUGCAGUCAUUGUGGUAUCAACACUUCGGUAUUUGUAAUUUUUCGUAAAUGGUAAUUUCAUUUUGAUCUAGUAUGGCAGAAACUGGAAAUUGCCUACCCAAUAUUCCCCAACCCCUUUUUUUUUCUACUAAAAGAUUAUCAGUUUUUAUUAUUAAAAGCUUUUCCUGUCUAAUAAGUAAUCCAGUGGAAAUAAGUACAAAGGUUUUGAAAGAAGAGUCUCAUCUGUUAUGAUAUUUUUGUAUUUUGUUCUUUGUCCUUGCUCAUGACUGGGAAUUGGACCCAAUGUUUUGAAUUUUUAUAAAAGAGACCUUGUGACAGGAAAGCUAGAAGUUGGUUGGGCUGGCUUAUGUUGUGUUACUUUGGACAUGGCUGGGACUACAUUUCCCAAAAUUACUUCCUUAUCCAGUUCCAGGUUAGAGUUGUCUAAAAUAAGAGUUUCUGUGAGAAUUGGAAGGCAGAGGGAAGAAGCCAUUAUUCUGAGUUUAGCGGGGCCAUGAGACAGGAAGACAUGCAUAGGUCCUGGUAAGCUCCAGUUUCCAGCUCAUUUUCCUAAUUAUUGGAUCCACUGAUCAGUACUGGCUCAAAACGGAACAUUAAAUGUGUGACUUCAGUUAUCUCAGAGGCAGCAACUCCACAGACAUUUCCAUAAAUUCCUCUGUCAUGGCCAUACACAGCUUCUUGGAUUUUUUCUGGCAAGUUCUUGCAUUGUAAUAUUGCUGAUAUUACAGCCCCUCUGGCACAUCAACUGACUGUAUAGAGUUGGCCCCAGUUUGAAGCAGGAUUGUUGUCAUCUGCGUAGUCCAGCCCCAUCAUGUCACUCUGCUCAAGGGGAAAAGACACAUCUGUGCAAGUUCCCUGUGAUCUCAAGACAAGAAGAAGAGCUGUGGACAAUGAGGAAGACCAGGUAUAAUUGAAGAUCUCAGUUCCCUGACCAGGGAUUGAACCCAGGCCACGGCAGUGAAAGCUCAGAAUCCUAACCACUAGGCCACCAGAGAACCUCCUGGAGAUCUUCUUUUAUGAGGGUACCUAUUGAAGCACUUCACUCAUUUUUGGUUCCUUUUUUAUUUGAAGGGUUUCCUGUGGUUAUUUUUCCUUUUUUAAUGUAUGUGUAUCUCUGUCUAUAUCUAGUUACAUACGUAUACGUAAAACAUGUUAUAAUACACGUAAAUUAUGUUUAUUAUAUAUAUAUGUGUGUUGCAGAUAACUUUUCCCAGUCUCUGACAUGUCUUCAUGCUUUUCAUUUUUGUAAACUAUAAAGGGAAUUUAUUGGUUUGAUUACUGAAAAAUCCUUGGGUAUAAGUAACUUCAGAGGUGCCUGGGUCCUGGAGCUAAAAAGAUGUUAUCUGGAUGAGUUCUGUUUCCAUGUCUUGUCUGCGCAUCUUUCUGCAUUACCUAUUCUUCCUUGUGGGCUCUUUUUCUUCACAGUGGCCCUCAGAAGAUCCAGGCUGCUUUCUUUCUGGGUUCAGUCUCAGGGAGAAGAGAGUGAUUGUCUUUCUGAACAAUUCCAAUAUGAUUAUUACAGUUGAAUCUGAUUGGCUCACUUGCCAACUGUUGUCGAAUCACUGUGGCCAGAGGAAUGUAAUUCUCUGCUUUGUUUAGGACUGGCUCCCAUACUCAUCCAGAAAAAGAGAGUGGAGUCAGUCCUAACUGAAUCAUAGGGUGCUGGCAAUCGUGUUGUAUAUGGUGAAGGGAAGGAGACAGCAGGGGGCAGGUGGGGUGUAGAAAUAGAGGUAAUAAUAACAUCAGCUAGCACAAUAUGCUUAUUCUGGUCUUAGCACUGGGAGGGAACUAUGAAGUCUGGGAACUCUCAGCCAAGGCUAAGUAGUUCUAGAAAUCCUUUCAGAAAGGUUCGAUUCCAUCUGUUACCAUCUCUUUAGAUUGCUAAGAUGGUUUCUCAAUCUUUACUUGGCUUUGCAGUAUUUUUGGAUAUCCGGUAGCAAGAGCCUUCCAACUUUUUUAUUCAUCAGGAUUGUCUUCCUUCUCUAUUCCUGAUUUGAUUCUAUAUUAAUUUUAGAUCUUAUCAAUUUUCACAAAUCUGGGACUUUGCUUGGAAUUGCAUUGACUUUAGAGAAUAACCUGAAUAAAAUUGACAUCUUUACAAUACUGAGUCUUCUAAUUGAUGAACAUAAUAUAAUUAUCCAUUUAUCUA